RNAcentral lists this ribosomal RNA (340 nucleotides) under uncultured eukaryote. RNAcentral describes it as "partial 18S ribosomal RNA". It matches the Rfam family "Eukaryotic small subunit ribosomal RNA", at positions 1470 to 1796 of the family's 1831-position model. The record is from RNAcentral.
CCCUUAGAUGUUCUGGGCCGCACGCGCGCUACACUGAAGGACUCAGCGUGUCUCUCCCCCUAUCCCGAAAGGGAUGGGCAACCCGUUGAACCUCCUUCGUGCUAGGGAUUGGGGUUUGCAAUUAUCCCCCAUGAACGAGGAAUUCCCAGUAAGCGCGAGUCAUCAGCUCGCGUUGAUUACGUCCCUGCCCUUUGUACACACCGCCCGUCGCUACUACCGAUUGGAUGGUUUAGUGAGACCCUCGGAUCGGUCCCGACUCGGGGUGGGCUUCUGCCCCGGUCGUGGUUUCGCCGAGAAGACGGUCAAACUUGACUAUCUAGAGGAAGUAAAAGGCGUAACA